GAUGAACGCUGGCGGCGUGCUUAACACAUGCAAGUCGAACGGACAGGCCCUGCUUUUGCUUCUUGCUCGUUUGGCGAACGGGUGAGUAACACGUGUGUAACCUGCCCUUGUCUUUGUGAUAACUUCUGGAAACUCGGGCUCUUAUCGGAUAGGAGCUCCUGCUGCACGGUGGGGGUUGGAAAGUUUCGGCGUUUGGGGAUGGACUCGCGGCUUCUCAGCUUGUUGGUGGGGUAGUGGCUUACCAAGGCUUUGACGGGUAGCCGGCCUGGGAGGGUGACCGGCCACAUGGGGACUGAGAUAGGGACCAGAAGCCAACGGGAGGCAGCGGGGGGGAAUAUGGCGCAAUGGGCGGAAGCCUGAGGCAGCAACGCCGCGUGCGGGAUGACGGCCUUCGGGUGGUAAACCGCUUUCGCCGGUGACGAAGCGUGAGUGACGGUAAUGAGUAAAGAAGCACCGGCUAACUACGUG
This 468-nucleotide ribosomal RNA is filed under the name uncultured bacterium. RNAcentral's name for it is "partial 16S ribosomal RNA". It matches the Rfam family "Bacterial small subunit ribosomal RNA", at positions 28 to 507 of the family's 1533-position model. The record is from RNAcentral.